Molecule: ribosomal RNA, 492 nt
Filed under: uncultured bacterium
Lineage: Bacteria
Description: partial 16S ribosomal RNA
Rfam family: Bacterial small subunit ribosomal RNA
Source: RNAcentral
AGUGAACGCUGGCGGUAGGCUUAACACAUGCAAGUCGAACGGCAGCACAGUAAGAGCUUGCUCUUACGGGUGGCGAGUGGCGGACGGGUGAGGAAUACAUCGGACUCUACUUUUUCGUGGGGGAUAACGUAGGGAAACUUACGCUCAUACCGCAUACGACCUACGGGUGAAAGCAGGGGAUCUUCGGACCUUGCGCGAUUGAAUGAGCCGAUGUCGGAUUAGCUAGUUGGCGGGGUAAAGGCCCACCAAGGCGACGAUCCGUAGCUGGUCUGAGAGGAUGAUCAGCCGCACUGGAGCUGGAACACGGUCCAGGCGCCUGAGGGAGGCAGCAGUGGGGAAUAUGAGGCAAUGGGGGGGAGCCUGAUCCAGCCAUACCGCGUGGGUGGAGAAAACCUUCGGGUUGUAAAGCCCGUUUGUUGGGAAAGAAAAGCAGCAGGUUAAUACCCCGCUGUUCUGACGGUACCCAAAGAAUAAGCACCGGCUAACUUCGUG